CCUACGGGUGGCAGCAGUGAGGAAUAUUGGUCAAUGGUCGGGAGACUGAACCAGCCAAGCCGCGUGAGGGAGGAAGGUACAGAGUAUCGUAAACCUCUUUUGUCAGGGAACAAAGGCGGGGACGUGUCCCCGGAUGAGUGUACCUGAAGAAAAAGCAUCGGCUAACUCCGUGCCAGCAGCCGCGGUAAUACGGAGGAUGCGAGCGUUAUCCGGAUUUAUUGGGUUUAAAGGGUGCGCAGGCGGUCUGUUAAGUCAGCGGUCAAAGCCCGGGGCUCAACCCCGGCCCGCCGUUGAAACUGUUGGGCUUGAGUAUCGGAGAGGCAGGCGGAAUUCCUAGUGUAGCGGUGAAAUGCGUAGAUAUUAGGAGGAACACCAGUGGCGAAGGCGGCCUGCUGGACGACAACUGACGGUGAGGCGCGAAAGCGUGGGGAGCAAACAGGAUUAGAUACCCUAGUAGUC
RNAcentral lists this ribosomal RNA (459 nucleotides) under uncultured bacterium. RNAcentral's name for it is "partial 16S ribosomal RNA". It matches the Rfam family "Bacterial small subunit ribosomal RNA", at positions 338 to 795 of the family's 1533-position model. The record is from RNAcentral.